UCUUCUGUUAAAUGGAAAAAUUAUUCUUUAGUUUCAGCUUUUGGUGGAUUUUUUCUGAUCUUUAAGAAUGUCAGUUUUCAGUAUCAUGAACUUUGGUACAUACUUGAUUCACCUUCAAACCUGUAUUCAUUUGUAUAAGCUAGUGAGGUGAAAUGUUAUAGAAUAUAGGAUGCUGCAAACGUCUAGUUUUAUUGACACUGACACACAUAACGAUUUACCAUAUUAAGACGUAAAACUUCAGUUUGCAUACGCAUAGAGUUCACCACUUACUUCUUAGAGAUGUCAAACCUAGCUGCUUUGUUUACUUGAGGAGUAAUAUAUGGAAAGUGAUUGUCUUUAAUGUUUUUCUUCCCAUGUGGAGUUUCUAUCAAUCAGAUAUGUUUUUGACCAACUGAAAUCCCCACCAUAAUAAACAGCAUGGCACACAGAGAAAAAACUUUGUGAUACAUAUGUAGUGGAAGUUUGCUAUCUAGGACGACAUAAAGUGUGAAUUUUCUUAUGACCAGUUUAUGGUAUAAGAUUAGAUGGUACAAUCUCAUGAAAUUUGUGUCCAUGGACAGAUUGAGACAAUUUUCAAAGGGAAAGCAUGCCUCGAAAUUAGAGAUUCUGCGACGGGCUUGACAAAGCGGUUGGCGCAAACUGCUCAGGAAACAUUUGGUGAUUUUGAAGAAGCUGUUGAGAAAGAUGCUACAAAGACUGCUGUUCUAGAUGGAACUGUCCACCCACUAACAAGCUAUGUCAUCAAUUAUGUCAAGUUUUUAUUCGAGUAAGUACAUCAUAUAUACUCAACUUAUUUCCUCGAACUAUUUGCGUAUUGUUCUUCUCCAUACUGCUAUUUGCGUAUUGUCCCUUUCCACGCUUUAAUUGAUGAUCAUUGGUGUCAGCUACCAAACAACAUUGAAGCAACUUUUCUUGGAAUUUGGAAAUGGAGAUGACUCAAAUUCGCAGCUAGCAUCCGUAACGAUGCGGAUAAUGCAGGCGCUUCAAAACAACUUGGACGGAAAAUCGAAACAGUACAAAGAUCCUGCAUUGACACACUUGUUCCUGAUGAACAACAUUCAUUACAUGGUCAGAUCUGUGCGCAGGUAUAUUAUUUUUCUCGUUUAAACUUUAAAGGCUGAUCUGGUUUUAUUAAAAAAAUAAAAGAACGCACUCAUUUAGCUUUAUUCAUAUGAUAAUUUUUCAGGUCAGAAGCCAAGGAUUUGUUAGGCGAUGAUUGGGUUCAAAGACAUAGGCGUAUCGUGCAGCAACAUGCAAACCAAUACAAAAGAGUUGCCUGGACAAAGGUUCUGUCUAUUUGUCUAACUCUGUAAAGAAACACUAUUAUAUAAAAUUUCAUUAAAUUGUUACUAAGAAACUGUUACAUAUUUUGUAGAUACUACAAAGCUCAUCGGCGCAAGGUUUGACCUCAUCUGGGGGAGGAAGUUUAGAGGGAGGAAACAGCAGUGGAGUUUCAAGAGGAUUAUUAAAAGAGAGGUAAGUCCUAAACAUGUAAAAUAAACACAGUAAUUGGCAAAUGUUUAUAUAUUUGGUAAUGAUGAUAAAUCUGUAAAAAAAAAAUGGAACAGGUUCAAGAUGUUCAAUAUGCAGUUUGAUGAGUUGCAUCAGAGACAAUCGCAAUGGACAGUUCCAGACACAGAGUUAAGAGAGUCACUAAGACUUGCUGUUGCUGAAGUAUUAUUGCCUGCUUAUAGAUCAUUCCUCAAACGCUUUGGGUAAAAAUCUCCUUUCUCUCUUUACUGCGAAGGCUUUUCUAAUAUUUGAUUGAAAUGUAAAAAAACCUAAAUGAGAUUUUAACCUAUGAUCGAUGCAGGCCUUUGGUUGAGAGUGGGAAGAAUCCUCAGAAAUACAUAAAGUAUACAGCUGAAGAUCUUGAAAGAUUGUUGGGUGAGUUGUUUGAAGGAAAGUCUAUGAAUGAACCACGCCGGUAAAAAAACAACUAAAAGAUGAUGAAAACUAAUUGUGUAAGGUAAAUUUCUAUCAAACUCUUCUUUUUUUUGGCUUACCUUACAUAACUAGGUUCGUUGCUAUUGUAUAUGCAGUGUCAACUUUUCGUUUUUUGUAUUCUACUAUUCUUUGGUUGGAAUGAGAAUGUGUAAAUUACUUGGAGACAGAGUUGUUUCCUUUUGUAUACGUUAAACGUUUUGAAAUAACCAUGGCCUAAUAAGUCUAAUCUCAACUCACAAGGAUAUGAAAUCUUUUUUCUUAGAAUGAAAUUAAUCGGAAAUCAAAAUCCUAGGCGUAAUUUAUAAAAAAAAAUAUGCAGUGAAGGAGCUAAGUUAUAAGUUGAUAUGAUUGACAAUUGCUUUGAGACGAGCUUUGGUACUAAAGAUCGAGCCAAUAAUAUUUGUCCGAACAGCUGAACUAAGCUUGGGGACAAGAUUGUCAUGCGGAUCAAUUCUGUUAUUUUCUUAAUGGAUUUUAGGUGAUUAAUCAGUUGUUAUUGAACAGAACAAGACAGAUAGAGCUCUACCGACUUGCAUACUUAAAUGAAAGAAAUAUGAUUUAUUAGUAAAAUAAAGAGUGAUGAGAUGGUUUUGUUGUUUUAAAACACACAUGUUUGGUAAUUGGCAUAUUCCUUUUAGAAGAUCCAAAUUCUCCCAACAUCUUUACAUGGACUUCCCCAUUUCCAUCAUCUCCUUCCACUUUUUUCCCAAAAUAAUAUAAAAAAAUGAUAAUUUGAAUCGAUGUAAUGAGUGUAUUCAACCUCUUGUAUAAUUUGUCUCCAUGACCAAAGACAAAGAGAGAAGCCAUAAAAACCCUAACAACAUCCAUUGUUGAAACUCUCUUUGGCACAACACCAAACACACAAAAUAUGGCCAUCCCCUAAAGAAACUGAAGCUCAAGAACCCUCUGAAUCUAUCAGAAGAUCUCACCAAUAAAGGGUUUUGAGAGGUUCAAGUUUCUCUUUAUGGGAUGGCCCCAAACACAAGAGUACUCACAAAAGGUAAGAAGAAGAAGAGAUCUCUUGGAGAUUAUGAUUGUGAAUGUUCGUGUGUGGGUGUUGUGUAAAUGAUCAUCAUCAUCAUCAUCAUCAUUAUCCAAUAUCAUAAUUAUCAAUAUGGUGAUGAUGAUGAUGAUGAGGAUUGUGUGUGAAUGGAGCGAUGAAGAUUGCAUGAAGGUUGAUGAAGACAAGCUUGAUGUGUCUUUUGUUAUCCCUCGUUUGGGCAACUUCGAUCCUUUGGCAAGCUUCGGUUCCCCUCGGAAUCAGCAGAUUAUGAUUACUAUAGCUC
RNAcentral lists this long non-coding RNA (3233 nucleotides) under Arabidopsis thaliana (thale cress). RNAcentral describes it as "long non-coding RNA (ATHA_LNC000341)". The record is from RNAcentral. Lineage: Eukaryota; Viridiplantae; Streptophyta; Magnoliopsida; Brassicales; Brassicaceae.